Long non-coding RNA from Diorhabda carinulata, 612 nucleotides. RefSeq lists it as uncharacterized. The transcript is spliced from 3 exons. The record is from RefSeq and is a predicted model, not a curated record. Lineage: Eukaryota; Metazoa; Arthropoda; Insecta; Coleoptera; Chrysomelidae.
GAGUGAUUUUAAAUAACCAGACAUUUAGUCGCUUUGACUUCAUAUCAUUUCAGACAAAAUCGUCUUGGUCCACUGGUUCUGUAUUUAGUAUCCCAAUGCGCCAGCAGAGAUGGGAGUCACACACCUAGGUAUUAUGAGCCUUCUGUAAUAAAAUUCAGAGGGACUUGGCAUAUACCAGAUGAAAAGAUGGACAGUUUUUAUCUGUUUCUGACAGCAUGAAUAAGCAAAACUAACUGAAUAUUCUUCGGCAAAAUACAUAAAAUUUUCUUAAUUGUGCUCCAGACUUCCCCUACUUGUAAAAGUUGCAGCUAUUGAAAUAUAUCGCUCUUUUGCUUAGGUAUAUCAAAAUGUACAUCUUUUUCAUCUCAUACCAGUGCAAGGGCAACCAUCCUGAGGGUUUUUGAGCAGCUUUACACCACCACGUAUGUUUAUUUCGAAUGAUGUGUUUUAAGCCAGUCUUUAUAUCGUCAACGUUUUCGUCCUUUUGCCAGGCCUUUUCUUUUAUGGAGUAGAAAACGAUACUAUUUCGCAGAUUUAAGGCACCCGACCCCAGGGCCUCCACAUAAUAAGGGUCCCCACAAUAAAGACUUCUGAAAAAAUCUUUCAAUCCAU